Molecule: long non-coding RNA, 1149 nt
Filed under: Pongo abelii (Sumatran orangutan)
Lineage: Eukaryota; Metazoa; Chordata; Mammalia; Primates; Hominidae
Description: lincRNA
Source: RNAcentral
AACGCUGGGUCCCGCCCCUUCUUCCGGCUGGGUUCCACUACCUGCAAGGCUGGAACUGACAGCCACUGUGCAAACAAAAAAAGGCAACAAGCAUGCUGGGACCAUUCUGUCUGCUGUUUGGGUCUCACUUGUCCUGACAACUAAAAAUCAUCAGUGGAAAGAGGUUAGAACAUUUGAAAAUUAUCAAAAAGCAGCAGAGACAAGUUCAGGUGGUUUCCAGGGGAGAGGCACUGAAAGUGAUUGAUUCCUAUCAAAAGCACAAGGACAAAAAACAAGAUCUCCCUGUGUCGCCAAGGUGGGUCUGGAACUCCUGAGCUCAAGUGAUCCUCCUGCCUCAGCCUCCCAAAGUGUUGGGAUUAUUGAUGGAAGCCACUGCAUGUGGUCAAUUCUGUCAUUCUUGACAAUAUGGAUGAAGCUGGGAGAUACUUGGAUGAAGCUGGGAGAUACUGUGCUGAGUAGAAUAAAUGAAGCACCAAAAGACAAAUGCCUCAUGAGCUCACUUAUGUGUAGAAUCUGUAACAGUUGAACUCAUCAGAGAGUAGAAUAAUGGUUCCCAGGAACUAGCAGUAGGCUGGAGGGAGAGGUGAGGAGGUGUUGGUCAAAUAAUAUAAAAUUUCAGUUAGGAGAAAUAAGAUUUAAGAGAUCUAUUGCACAACAUGGUGACUAUAGUUAACAACACUGUAUUAUAUUCUUGAAAAUUGCUAAGAUUUUAAUAUACUCACCACAAAAAAUAAGCAUGUGAGGUAAUGCAUAUGUUAAUGGCUCAAUUUAGCCAUUUCUAAUGAUUAAAUAUUUGAAAGCAGUUAUAUACCAUAAAUGUGUACUUUUUUAAUUAAAAAAAAUUAUUUUUUAGCAGGAUGCUCUGAAAUUGGAACUCAGUAUUACUUAAACCUUGAAGUCUGGGAACAGGGACAUAGUGCUUUUCCAAAACUGCCAGAAAGGUGUCUCUUAAUGCUCUAUGGAUAGAAGUGGCCACCUGUCUUACAGGCUGACGCUGGAGCCCAGCAAAAGUUAUUUUGGUAGACCCUUAUGGUUUAGCAAUGCAAGAAGAGAACCUACUUACUUUCUUUAUAUUAACUCUGGAUACUGAUAAACUAAAUAAAAAUACCCUGGCCAGGGAUAUUAAUUAUUUUGUUUAUUCACAUAAAA